Bubalus bubalis (water buffalo) is the source of this 406-nucleotide long non-coding RNA. RefSeq lists it as uncharacterized. The record is from RefSeq and is a predicted model, not a curated record. Lineage: Eukaryota; Metazoa; Chordata; Mammalia; Artiodactyla; Bovidae. The transcript is spliced from 2 exons.
GGUGUUCCGUAAAUAAGCCUUCAUCUUCCCAGGCGCUGGCAGCUGACAAAGAGCAGGCAUGAGGGAACGCCUCCUCCACUGAGACUUGACUCGGAUUAUUUCUGCAUGUGGGCCCAGAAAGAUGGCAGUUUUCUUUCUUUAGGGUUCUACUUUGCCUGCUUAAGCCCAGAAGUGGGAUUCCCCACAGCAACAGAGGACCCCGCAUCACUUACCCAAGAAAAGAGGAACAGGGCGCUUUAUGAGACCUUGGAUCCGGCUCCCAAGCCUGUCCUGUGUUACACCACCAAGCUCCGGAGUUUGUGUGGGGGGAGGUGGGUGCGUGUUGUUUCUCCCGCCCCACACACUAGGUGGAGGAGUUGCAAAGGGGAUUCGAGGAGUCAGGGAACUCAGGCCCUUGUUGGCUGGA